CGCGAAGAACCUUACCAAAUCUUGACAUCCUUUGACCGCUCUAGAGAUAGAGUUUUCCUCUUCGGAGGACAAAGUGACAGGUGGUGCAUGGUUGUCGUCAGCUCGUGUCGUGAGAUGUUGGGUUAAGUCCCGCAACGAGCGCAACCCUUGAACUUAGUUGCCAUCAUUCAGUUGGGCACUCUAAGUUGACUGCCGGUGACAAACCGGAGGAAGGUGGGGAUGACGUCAAAUCAUCAUGCCCCUUAUGAUUUGGGCUACACACGUGCUACAAUGGACAAUACAAAGGGCAGCGAAACCGCGAGGUCAAGCAAAUCCCAUAAAGUUGUUCUCAGUUCGGAUUGUAGUCUGCAACUCGACUACAUGAAGCUGGAAUCGCUAGUAAUCGUAGAUCAGCAUGCUACGGUGAAUACGUUCCCGGGUCUUGUACACACCGCCCGUCACACCACGAGAGUUUGUAACACCCGAAGCCGGU
This 472-nucleotide ribosomal RNA is filed under the name Staphylococcus pseudintermedius. RNAcentral's name for it is "bacterial SSU rRNA". It matches the Rfam family "Bacterial small subunit ribosomal RNA", at positions 960 to 1431 of the family's 1533-position model. The record is from RNAcentral. Lineage: Bacteria; Bacillati; Bacillota; Bacilli; Caryophanales; Staphylococcaceae.